This 74-nucleotide transfer RNA is filed under the name Acidobacteriota bacterium. RNAcentral describes it as "Acidobacteria bacterium tRNA-Gln". It matches the Rfam family "tRNA". From Rfam's summary of the family: Transfer RNA (tRNA) molecules are approximately 80 nucleotides in length. Their secondary structure includes four short double-helical elements and three loops (D, anti-codon, and T loops). The record is from RNAcentral. Lineage: Bacteria; Pseudomonadati; Acidobacteriota. RNAcentral also lists the same sequence under 1 other name.
UGGGGCGUCGUCCAAUGGCAGGACACAUGCCUUUGGAGCAUGGCAUUUAGGUUCGAAUCCUAACGCCCCAGCCA